Molecule: small RNA, 563 nt
Filed under: Pan troglodytes (chimpanzee)
Lineage: Eukaryota; Metazoa; Chordata; Mammalia; Primates; Hominidae
Description: retained intron
Source: RNAcentral
GAAAAGUGAUGUACUGAAAUACUGACCCUUCCAGCUGGUUAACUUUCAUAAUCAUGCAUUUACUUUUCAAUGGCAACUGAAUAUAUGACUGCCUGAUGAUUCAGGGGAAAAAAUGCAGUAUUGUGUGUGGAAUUGGAAGAGAUUCAAAAUGUGGGAAGAUAAAUGAAGGGGUCUAGAUGUAAAUGUCAGUGGAAAGGAGAGCUACCACCACUAAGGUUUAUAUUCUGCAAGAUCCUGAAGAUACUUUCCUUCUUUUCCGGCUGAAAACACAGUUAAAUCACUUUCAAAGUUAAAAGACUAUUAAGAACACAAGAUGGGGACUCCUGGUUCUGGAAGGAAAAGAACACCUGUGAAAGACCGAUUUUCUGCAGAAGAUGAAGCUUUGAGUAACAUUGCCAGAGAGGCAGAGGCAAGGCUGGCAGCAAAACGGGCUGCCCGGGCAGAAGCAAGAGAUAUACGCAUGAGAGAACUGGAACGGCAACAAAAAGAGGGAGUUGAGGAUGCAUUGUCCAUUCGAAGUGUUGGCAGUCACAGGGUUGGUAUUUUAACUUGUCUACACAAUA